GAUGAACGCUGGCGGCGUGCUUAACACAUGCAAGUCGAACGAUGAAGCCCAGCUUGCUGGGUGGAUUAGUGGCGAACGGGUGAGUAACACGUGAGUAACCUGCCCUUAACUCUGGGAUAAGCCUGGGAAACUGGGUCUAAUACCGGAUAGGAGCGUCCACCGCAUGGUGGGUGUUGGAAAGAUUUAUCGGUUUUGGAUGGACUCGCGGCCUAUCAGCUUGUUGGUGAGGUAAUGGCUCACCAAGGCGACGACGGGUAGCCGGCCUGAGAGGGUGACCGGCCACACUGGGACUGAGACACGGCACAGACUCCUACGGGACGCAGCAGUGGGGAAUAUUGCACAAUGGGCGAAAGCCUGAUGCAGCGACGCCGCGUGAGGGAUGACGGCCUUCGGGUUGUAAACCUCUUUCAGUAGGGAAGAAGCGAAAGUGACGGUACCUGCAGAAGAAGCACCGGCUAACUACGUG
RNAcentral lists this ribosomal RNA (466 nucleotides) under uncultured bacterium. RNAcentral's name for it is "partial 16S ribosomal RNA". It matches the Rfam family "Bacterial small subunit ribosomal RNA", at positions 28 to 507 of the family's 1533-position model. The record is from RNAcentral.